AUCACUGCUCCCUGGUGGGCGAAACAUCUCUCAGAUAUACCGAUGCUGUAUAUGUGUCUUAUACAUCAACUUGUCGAUAUUAUAUACCAGUACCUUUGAUCUAAUUAUAAGUGAAGGUUGGUCACAGAGAGACGCGCGGUAACGAGUGCAUUUUAUUAACGACACGUUUCGCCAUCCGCUGGCUUUGUCAAUCCAAUGAUCGAUGGCAAAACGUUUCCUUAACAAAAUGUUAUAAUCACCAGCAAUGUAUCCUUCUAUACGGUGUUAAACACCAUUAGUAACCUCACACAAUACGCUUGCCUCGCCUCAGUCCCCCUGACAUGAGCAGCCAUAUUUAACGUCGCUGUUUAUGUGGUGUUGUGUGUCAGCGCUGGUGUGAUUCACAUUUUCUAAUUUGUGCAUCCAAGACCUUAUCAUAGUGGUCCAGUGAGAGGCAGGAGCGACCUACUUUGAACCCAUGCUGCCCUGGAUUGUUCAAUUCUAGGGAAUCCAGGUACAAGACACCCAGCCACUAGGUAGAGGAAGACUUGGGGACUGAUUGAUAGGUCCAAUUUCCUCACCUUGUUCAUCAUAAAGAUUGCAGUCCACAAUAUUGUACAAGGAGUUGGCACAACAUUUUAGAUGAGAGAAGUAGUGGAACUGGUAUGGUGAUACUGACAAGUUGUAGGUAAAAAGAUAUGUGCACUGAUUAAUACAUUUACUAAUAAGGAAACUUUUUUUGCCACAAGUGACUAGUCCUAAUACAGAGUAGCUUGAAUAAGCAAGAGGUCAGAUGUAAGUCAAAAUUGGGGGUAACAAAUUCACAACUACCUGGGAUGGGACAGUAGGUAGCCCUGCAGUGCUCCCUGGUGUAUCCUCUAAGGGUGGUGAUUUCACUGUUAGGAAGCAGUCAUUUGGCCAGGCUUCUGGAUAUACUGUCUAAUGUUUGUGGUGUGGUGUUUGCG
Cherax quadricarinatus is the source of this 944-nucleotide long non-coding RNA. RefSeq lists it as uncharacterized. The record is from RefSeq and is a predicted model, not a curated record. NCBI's taxonomy places the organism in Eukaryota, Metazoa, Arthropoda, Malacostraca, Decapoda, Parastacidae.